UUUUCAUGAUGGAAAUUAACAUAUUCAAAUGUUAUUAAAACAUUUUUUUGGGGGGGGGCAUUUAAGAGCAAGAGUUAUUAUACAGUCUGAUAGCAGGUAGAGUGGUGUUAUACACUCUGAUAGCAGGUAGAGUGGUGUUAUACAGUCUGAUAGCAGGUAGAGUGGUGUUAUACAGGACAGUUAUACAGUCUGAUAGCAGGUAGAGUGGUGUUAUACAGGACAGUUAUACAGUCUGAUAGCAGGUAGAGUGGUGUUAUACAGUCUGAUAGCAGGUAGAGUGGUGUCAUACAGUCUGAUAGCAGGUAGAGUGGUGUUAUACAGUCUGAUAGCAGGUAGAGUGGUGU
Long non-coding RNA from Oncorhynchus tshawytscha (Chinook salmon), 344 nucleotides. The record is from Ensembl. NCBI's taxonomy places the organism in Eukaryota, Metazoa, Chordata, Actinopteri, Salmoniformes, Salmonidae.